Long non-coding RNA from Acanthaster planci (crown-of-thorns starfish), 1209 nucleotides. NCBI's taxonomy places the organism in Eukaryota, Metazoa, Echinodermata, Asteroidea, Valvatida, Acanthasteridae. The record is from RefSeq and is a predicted model, not a curated record.
GAGCGUGUUUUGAAAGCUACCCGAACCCCUCCGGUCUUUUCCGAAAGAGGAAGGAUUCAUGUUCAUUGUGUGUUUGUCACAUCGAAAUCGGCCCAGUGGUUGAGAAGCUACGUCACAACCAACAUUUCAACGCCGUGUUUCUCCUUGAAGUUUACGAUCUUAUGUUUUGUGACAUCAUAUUGGACCAUAUGCCAAGGAAGCUGGUAUCUACCGGAGGCACUUCGCUCAGGAUGGACAAAGCUUUCCAGUGCAAACCCAUAUCAAGAAUGUUAGUAUACUAAAACUAAAAUCACAGGUGUGAUAGGAGUCAAAGCUCUGUGAUAUGAAAGUGACAGUUGGCAUUGCACCCAAAGGGCUGUAAAAAUCCACAACUCUCUUUACUUACUGCAAAUAUUUGCGGAAUUCCUUAAGGUUGUCUUGUUCCAAUUUUUUCUCAAAUUAAAGGUAAUAUGCAAAUCAUUUUCAUUUAAUUAAACUUUCAUCUGUAGUUUUUAAGGAGUACAGGGUAUGUCAAAUACAUUAGGAGUAUACCGUACACGUGGCAUUGAUCCUCAACAAUCCCAAUAAUUGGUGCUGUACUGUUGAAAAACAUGAAUAAUUAUUUAUGCAAAUUGAUCAAUUUUACGCAUUGCAUAUAUUGAUUAAUUAAUUAGAAAAUGGCUUUAUUUAAGAUGAGACAAACAGUAAUGUUUACCAACAUAUGUGUAACCACCACAUCAGAAAUUUAAUCGAAGUAUAUAGCUGCCAGGAGUCAGGACAUCUCGUUUAUUGACAUUUAUAUCAAUUAAAUAUGCAAAUCAGGUAUACAUUUGUAUUUUAAAUGUGGAAAUUUGUAGUAGUGAUGUGCAAAUUUGUAAGAAUGCCAAGUUUGACAGAAAUAAAAUGUGUCCUUCCAAUGUAACAGAAGAAAAACCUUGGUUAAGUGAGCUUUUCCUGGUGCCAUUUACUUUAUAAAGAAAAACAAAGGGUGACCUUUGACCUGGGAGUCAAUAUUAGACAGUUGUUUUGCGAUAUUCAAAUGGAUGUAUCUUGAGAACCGCUUGACCGUUUGGAAUUAUUUUUUCCCUGUUAAACUCCUGAAGAUAUGCUCUUUCAUAUCUGCUAUAAAUUGACUGUGUACUGAAAUAAUUUGGAAAUCAUCUGAAAUGCCUAAUCUAAGCUGCUUAAAAUACAUUCCUCCUACUCAAGCCUCUAGACCCAUACCUGUCA